GACGAACGCUGGCGGCGUGCCUAAUACAUGCCAGUCGAGCGAAGUUUUUCUGGUGCUUGCACUAGAAAAACUUAGCGGCGAACGGGUGAGUAACACGUAAAGAACCUGCCUCAUAGACUGGGACAACUAUUGGAAACGAUAGCUAAUACCGGAUAACAGCAUUAACUGCAUGGUUGAUGUUUAAAAGUUGGUUUUGCUAACACUAUGAGAUGUCUUUGCGGUGCAUUAGCUAGUUGGUGGGGUAAAGGCCUACCAAGGCGACGAUGCAUAGCCGACCUGAGAGGGUGAUCGGCCACACUGGGACUGAGACACGGCCCAGACUCCUACGGGAGGCAGCAGUAGGGAAUCUUCCGCAAUGGGCGAAAGCCUGACGGAGCAACGCCGCGUGAGUGAAGAAGGAUUUCGGUUCGUAAAGCUCUGUUGUUAGGGAAGAAUGAUUGUGUAGUAACGAUACACAGUAGAGACGGUACCUAACCAGAAAGCCACGGCUAACUACGUG
This 499-nucleotide ribosomal RNA is filed under the name uncultured bacterium. RNAcentral's name for it is "partial 16S ribosomal RNA". It matches the Rfam family "Bacterial small subunit ribosomal RNA", at positions 28 to 507 of the family's 1533-position model. The record is from RNAcentral.